CCGGCUAUUGAAAAAGUAGCAGUUUCCAAAAUUCUCAAAACUUUUCUGUUACUAUUAUCCUUUGUGCAAAACCCUCCUGAAGCUUUGUCAAUUCGGAUGUCGAGCUCUUCUUCUCACCAUUUCGCGAUGAACAUAGUCAGCCACACCUCCCACCAUGUGUUGUUCAUCCUCCUUUUUCAGAGCUUCUUGGGCUAGGGUGUGGGCAAGUAGAUUCGCCGAUCUGGAGGGCACUGCUUGAUGAAGUACAGUUUUCGAAGCCAAAGUCCCACCCCCACAUCCUGUACUACCAACCUAGAACCAGAUCUGGACCAAUGACUGUCGAAAGAUGUAUCGAAGUUUAUUUUCAAAUUCGUACUAGGUAGGGGUUUCCAGUGCUCUUCUACAACUAUAUUGAGCACCCAUAAUCCACAGCAGAACAGCCUACACUGCUCACUAGUCCCCGAUUUAAAAACCCAGGUAAGCCAAUCCUAAACACCCUGGUCCAUAUUAUUUAAGAUCCAAGAUAGAUUUAAAAAGUUCCCCACCUCUUUUAUUGUAAGACAGUUUCGAAAAAUAUGGUUCUUAUUCUCCUCUGGCCCGUGACAUCUAGGGUAAGAUACUGCCACUGCGAUUCUCCUGUAUCUGAGAUUAGUUAAUGUAGGAAUGUAAUUCUAGGAAAUCUUCCACACUAUAAUUUUAAUUUUCGGGGGAAUUUUUAGAUUCCAUAAUUUCCUGUAAAAUUCCUUUAGCCCGAUUUGUAUAAAGUUAUUAUUAGAAGCAAAAUUACCCUAUUGUAAUAGUUUAUAGGUGCUUCUAAUUGUAAAUUCUCUGGAAGACUCACCUCUCUAGAUUUGGAUAUUUUCGUGACUGGCCAUCGCCAAGGGAAUCUGUAAAAUUUUCCUUGCGACAUCCACACUAAAGGUAUUGUUAAUUAAA
Long non-coding RNA from Gossypium arboreum, 915 nucleotides. RefSeq lists it as uncharacterized. The transcript has 3 exons. The record is from RefSeq and is a predicted model, not a curated record. Lineage: Eukaryota; Viridiplantae; Streptophyta; Magnoliopsida; Malvales; Malvaceae.